GACGAACGCUGGCGGCAUGCNUAAUACAUGCAAGUCGAGCGAGCUUGCCUAGAUGAUUUUAGUGCUUGCACUAAAUGAAACUAGAUACAAGCGAGCGGCGGACGGGUGAGUAACACGUGGGUAACCUGCCCAAGAGACUGGGAUAACACCUGGAAACAGAUGCUAAUACCGGAUAACAACACUAGACGCAUGUCUAGAGUUUGAAAGAUGGUUCUGCUAUCACUCUUGGAUGGACCUGCGGUGCAUUAGCUAGUUGGUAAGGUAACGGCUUACCAAGGCAAUGAUGCAUAGCCGAGUUGAGAGACUGAUCGGCCACAUUGGGACUGAGACACGGCCCAAACUCCUACGGGAGGCAGCAGUAGGGAAUCUUCCACAAUGGACGAAAGUCUGAUGGAGCAACGCCGCGUGAGUGAAGAAGGGUUUCGGCUCGUAAAGCUCUGUUGGUAGUGAAGAAAGAUAGAGGUAGUAACUGGCCUUUAUUUGACGGUAAUUACUUAGAAAGUCACGGCUAACUACGUGCCAGCAGCCGCGGUAAUACGUAGGUGGCAAGCGUUGUCCGGAUUUAUUGGGCGUAAAGCGAGUGCAGGCGGUUCAAUAAGUCUGAUGUGAAAGCCUUCGGCUCAACCGGAGAAUUGCAUCAGAAACUGUUGAACUUGAGUGCAGAAGAGGAGAGUGGAACUCCAUGUGUAGCGGUGGAAUGCGUAGAUAUAUGGAAGAACACCAGUGGCGAAGGCGGCUCUCUGGUCUGCAACUGACGCUGAGGCUCGAAAGCAUGGGUAGCGAACAGG
This 788-nucleotide ribosomal RNA is filed under the name uncultured bacterium. RNAcentral's name for it is "bacterial SSU rRNA". It matches the Rfam family "Bacterial small subunit ribosomal RNA", at positions 28 to 776 of the family's 1533-position model. The record is from RNAcentral.